RNAcentral lists this ribosomal RNA (503 nucleotides) under uncultured bacterium. Its description in RNAcentral is "bacterial SSU rRNA". It matches the Rfam family "Bacterial small subunit ribosomal RNA", at positions 15 to 512 of the family's 1533-position model. The record is from RNAcentral.
GAUCCUGGCUCAGAUUGAACGCUGGCGGCAUGCCUUACACAUGCAAGUCGAACGGCAGCACGGGAGCAAUCCUGGUGGCGAGUGGCGAACGGGUGAGUAAAGUAUCGGAACGUACCUUUCAGUGGGGGAUAACGUAGCGAAAGUUACGCUAAUACCGCAUAUUCUGUGAGCAGGAAAGCAGGGGAUCGCAAGACCUUGCGCUGAUUGAGCGGCCGAUAUCAGAUUAGCUAGUUGGUGGGGUAAAGGCCUACCAAGGCGACGAUCUGUAGCGGGGUCUGAGAGGAUGAUCCGCCACACUGGAACUGAGACACGGUCCAGACUCCUACGGGAGGCAGCAGUGGGGAAUUUUGGACAAUGGGGGCAACCCUGAUCCAGCCAUGCCGCGUGAGUGAAGAAGGCCUUCGGGUUGUAAAGCUCUUUCGGCCGGGACGAAAUCGCACGGGCUAAUAUCCUGUGUGGAUGACGGUACCGGAAUAAGAAGCACCGGCUAACUACGUGCCAGC